This 68-nucleotide transfer RNA is filed under the name Phyllodactylus xanti. RNAcentral describes it as "tRNA-Ala". The record is from RNAcentral. Lineage: Eukaryota; Metazoa; Chordata; Lepidosauria; Squamata; Phyllodactylidae.
GAGGUCUUAGCUUAAAGUGCCAAAGUGGUUGAGUUGCAUUCAACGGAUGUACAGUAUGUACAGACCUU